Molecule: ribosomal RNA, 497 nt
Filed under: uncultured bacterium
Lineage: Bacteria
Description: partial 16S ribosomal RNA
Rfam family: Bacterial small subunit ribosomal RNA
Source: RNAcentral
GAUGAACGCUGGCGGCGUGCCUAAUACAUGCAAGUCGAGCGAACGGACGAGAAGCUUGCUUCUCUGAUGUUAGCGGCGGACGGGUGAGUAACACGUGGAUAACCUACCUAUAAGACUGGGAUAACUUCGGGAAACCGGAGCUAAUACCGGAUAAUAUUUUGAACCGCAUGGUUCAAAAGUGAAAGACGGUCUUGCUGUCACUUAUAGAUGGAUCCGCGCUGCAUUAGCUAGUUGGUAAGGUAACGGCUUACCAAGGCAACGAUGCAUGGCCGACCUGAGAGGGUGAUCGGCCACACUGGAACUGAGACACGGUCCAGACUCCUACGGGAGGCAGCAGUAGGGAAUCUUCCGCAAUGGGCGAAAGCCUGACGGAGCAACGCUGCGUGAGUGAUGAAGGUCUUCGGAUCGUAAAACUCUGUUAUUAGGGAAGAACAUAUGUGUAAGUAACUGUGCACAUCUUGACGGUACCUAAUCAGAAAGCCACGGCUAACUACGUG